CCUACGGGUGUCAGCAGUGGGGAAUAUUGCACAAUGGGGGAAACCCUGAUGCAGCGACGCCGCGUGAGUGAAGAAGUCUUUCUGUAUGUAAAGCUCUAUCAGCAGGGAAGAAAAUGACGGUACCUGAUUAAGCAGCCCCGGCUAACUCCGUGCCAGCCGCCGCGGUAAUACGUAGGGGGCAAGCGUUAUCCGGAUUUACUGGGUGUAAAGGGGGCGUAGACGGUUGGACAAGUCUGGAGUGAAAUGCCGGGGCUUAACCCCGGAACUGCUUUGGAAACUGUGGAACUAGAGUGCAGGAGGGGUAAGUGGAAUUCCUAGUGUAGCGGUGAAAUGCGUAGAUAUUAGGAGGAACACCAGUGGCGAAGGCGGCUUACUGGACUGUAACUGACGUUGAGGCUCGAAAGCGUGGGGAGCAAACAGGAUUAGAUACCCUGGUAGUC
RNAcentral lists this ribosomal RNA (440 nucleotides) under uncultured bacterium. RNAcentral describes it as "partial 16S ribosomal RNA". It matches the Rfam family "Bacterial small subunit ribosomal RNA", at positions 338 to 795 of the family's 1533-position model. The record is from RNAcentral.